RNAcentral lists this ribosomal RNA (253 nucleotides) under uncultured bacterium. Its description in RNAcentral is "partial 16S ribosomal RNA". It matches the Rfam family "Bacterial small subunit ribosomal RNA", at positions 524 to 776 of the family's 1533-position model. The record is from RNAcentral.
UACGUAGGGUCCGAGCGUUGUCCGGAAUUACUGGGCGUAAAGAGCUCGUAGGUGGUUUGUCGCGUUGUUCGUGAAAACUCACAGCUCAACUGUGGGCGUGCGGGCGAUACGGGCAGACUAGAGUACUGCAGGGGAGACUGGAAUUCCUGGUGUAGCGGUGGAAUGCGCAGAUAUCAGGAGGAACACCGGUGGCGAAGGCGGUUCUCUGGGCAUGAUCUGACGCUGAGGAGCGAAAGUGUGGGGAGCGAACAGG